UUCCCUGGCCGCCGUGCAGCAGGUUCUCGGAGCGCUUCGCCGCAGUCUUCGCGCAAUGUUCAUGACUUUCCCGACUAUCCAGGGACGAGAACCUUCCGGCGAGCAGUGCCUGCUACACGACGUCCAAGCACAAAGCCAAGUUCCGGACCAGGUUCGGAACGCACAUCAGCAAGCGAGUGUGAACCUCCGAAAGCGACCUGGCUGCUAAGCAGGAUUGGGUACUCGAGCCGUUUUCCGUGUGAGUCCCGGCGCCACCAGACGUCCUCCUAUCGCCAGCUGAAGCAGGGCAAAGCUUCACACGGACCAAAGAGCAGACUAGGGCACAGGCAGCGCAGUACUCCACUGGCCAGCGUCGGGGUUUCUCGUCAGAAUGUGAGUACAUGAAUGAGUUAAUGACCACCGUAGAUAGAUAGAUAAUACGGAGAGGUCGACCUG
Dermacentor silvarum is the source of this 435-nucleotide long non-coding RNA. RefSeq lists it as uncharacterized. NCBI's taxonomy places the organism in Eukaryota, Metazoa, Arthropoda, Arachnida, Ixodida, Ixodidae. The record is from RefSeq and is a predicted model, not a curated record. The transcript has 4 exons.